GAAGGUGUGUUGAGAAGCAUGCUGGAGGUAUCAGAAGUGCGAAUGCUGACGUGAGUAACGACAAAACGGGUGAAAAACCCGUUCGCCGAAAGACCAAGGGUUCCAGUCCAACGUUAAUCGGGGCUGGGUGAGUCGACCCCUAAGGCGAGGCCGAAAGGCGUAGUCGAUGGGAAAAUGGUUAAUAUUCCAUUACUUCUGUGUAAUGCGAUGAGAGGACGGAGAAGGCUAAAUCAGCCUGGCGUUGGUUGUCCAGGUGAAAGGAUGUAGGCAUGUAUCUUAGGCAAAUCCGGGGUACUCUAUGCUGAGAUCUGAUAGCAAGCUGUACUUGUACAGCGAAGUGGUUGAUGCCAUGCUUCCAGGAAAAGUCUCUAAGCUUCAGUUACACAGGAAUCGUACCCGAAACCGACACAGGUGGUCAGGUCGAGUAGACCAAGGCGCUUGAGAGAACUCUGCUGAAGGAACUAGGCAAAAUGGUACCGUAACUUCGGGAGAAGGUACGCUGUUGUUGGUGAUGGAACUCGCUUCCUGAGCUGACGACAGCCGCAGAAACCAGGCCGCUGCAACUGUUUAUUAAAAACAUAGCACUCUGCAAACACGAAAGUGGACGUAUAGGGUGUGAUGCCUGCCCGGUGCUGGAAGGUUAAUUGAUGGGGUUAGCGUAAGCGAAGCUCUUGAUCGAAGCCCCAGUAAACGGCGGCCGUAACUAUAACGGUCCUAAGGUAGCGAAAUUCCUUGUCGGGUAAGUUCCGACCUGCACGAAUGGCAUAAUGAUGGCGGCGCUGUCUCCAGCAGAGGCUCAGUGAAAUCGAAAUCGCUGUGAAGAUGCAGUGUACCCGCGGCUAGACGGAAAGACCCCGUGAACCUUUACUGCAGCUUGACACUGAACUUUGACCUUACUUGUGUAGGAUAGGUGGGAGGCUUUGAAGCUGGAACGCUAGUUCCAGUGGAGCCGUCCUUGAAAUACCACCCUGGUAAUGUUGAGGUUCUAACUCUGUCCCGUGAUCCGGGACGAGGACCGUGUCUGGUGGGUAGUUUGACUGGGGCGGUCUCCUCCUAAAGAGUAACGGAGGAGUACGAAGGUGCGCUCAGCGUGGUCGGAAAUCACGCGUAGAGUAUAAAGGCAAAAGCGCGCUUAACUGCGAGACCCACAAGUCGAGCAGGUACGAAAGUAGGUCUUAGUGAUCCGGUGGUUCUGUAUGGAAGGGCCAUCGCUCAACGGAUAAAAGGUACUCUGGGGAUAACAGGCUGAUACCGCCCAAGAGUUCAUAUCGACGGCGGUGUUUGGCACCUCGAUGUCGGCUCAUCUCAUCCUGGGGCUGAAGCAGGUCCCAAGGGUAUGGCUGUUCGCCAUUUAAAGAGGUACGCGAGCUGGGUUUAGAACGUCGUGAGACAGUUCGGUCCCUAUCUACCGUGGGCGCUGGAAAUUUGAGAGGAUCUGCUCCUAGUACGAGAGGACCAGAGUGGACGAACCUCUGGUGUACCGGUUGUGACGCCAGUCGCAUCGCCGGGUAGCUAUGUUCGGAAGGGAUAACCGCUGAAAGCAUCUAAGCGGGAAGCCUACCUCAAGAUAAGAUUUCCCUAGGACUUUAUGUCCUCUAAAGAGCCGUUCGAGACUAGGACGUUGAUAGGUUGGAUGUGGAAGCAUAGUGAUAUGUGAAGCUGACCAAUACUAAUUGCUCGUGAGGCUUGACUAU
RNAcentral lists this ribosomal RNA (1694 nucleotides) under Acinetobacter baumannii. RNAcentral's name for it is "partial 23S ribosomal RNA". It matches the Rfam family "Bacterial large subunit ribosomal RNA", at positions 1252 to 2925 of the family's 2925-position model. The record is from RNAcentral. Lineage: Bacteria; Pseudomonadati; Pseudomonadota; Gammaproteobacteria; Moraxellales; Moraxellaceae.